GGCUGAUGAUGUUAUGACGUAUUUGCUAUCUGAAGGUUGCAUGACGUUAUCUUUACCACCACGCAAUUCUGAGGCC
This 76-nucleotide small nucleolar RNA is filed under the name Rhodnius prolixus. RNAcentral's name for it is "Small nucleolar RNA SNORD24". It matches the Rfam family "Small nucleolar RNA SNORD24". From Rfam's summary of the family: U24 is a member of the C/D class of snoRNA which contain the C (UGAUGA) and D (CUGA) box motifs. C/D box snoRNAs have been shown to act as methylation guides for a number of RNA targets. Lineage: Eukaryota; Metazoa; Arthropoda; Insecta; Hemiptera; Reduviidae. The record is from Rfam by way of RNAcentral.